Molecule: ribosomal RNA, 918 nt
Filed under: Leuconostoc mesenteroides
Lineage: Bacteria; Bacillati; Bacillota; Bacilli; Lactobacillales; Lactobacillaceae
Description: bacterial SSU rRNA
Rfam family: Bacterial small subunit ribosomal RNA
Source: RNAcentral
GCUAUAAUCGCAAGUCGCACGCGCAGCGAGAGGUGCUUGCACCUUUCAAGCGAGUGGGAAAGGGGGAGUAACACGUGGAUAACCUGCCUCAAGGCUGGGGAUAACAUUUGGAAACAGAUGCUAAUACCGAAUAAAACUUAGUAUCGCAUGAUACAAAGUUAAAAGGCGCUACGGCGUCACCUAGAGAUGGAUCCGCGGUGCAUUAGUUAGUUGGUGGGGUAAAGGCUUACCAAGACAAUGAUGCAUAGCCGAGUUGAGAGACUGAUCGGCCACAUUGGGACUGAGACACGGCCCAAACUCCUACGGGAGGCUGCAGUAGGGAAUCUUCCACAAUGGGCGCAAGCCUGAUGGAGCAACGCCGCGUGUGUGAUGAAGGCUUUCGGGUCGUAAAGCACUGUUGUAUGGGAAGAAAUGCUAAAAUAGGGAAUGAUUUUAGUUUGACGGUACCAUACCAGAAAGGGACGGCUAAAUACGUGCCAGCAGCCGCGGUAAUACGUAUGUCCCGAGCGUUAUCCGGAUUUAUUGGGCGUAAAGCGAGCGCAGACGGUUGAUUAAGUCUGAUGUGAAAGCCCGGAGCUCAACUCCGGAAUGGCAUUGGAAACUGGUUAACUUGAGUGUUGUAGAGGUAAGUGGAACUCCAUGUGUAGCGGUGGAAUGCGUAGAUAUAUGGAAGAACACCAGUGGCGAAGGCGGCUUACUGGACAACAACUGACGUUGAGGCUCGAAAGUGUGGGUAGCAAACAGGAUUAGAUACCCUGGUAGUCCACACCGUAAACGAUGAAUACUAGGUGUUAGGAGGUUUCCGCCUCUUAGUGCCGAAGCUAACGCAUUAAGUAUUCCGCCUGGGGAGUACGACCGCAAGGUUGAAACUCAAAGGAAUUGACGGGGACCCGCACAAGCGGUGGAGCAUGUGGUUUA